Molecule: ribosomal RNA, 442 nt
Filed under: uncultured bacterium
Lineage: Bacteria
Description: bacterial SSU rRNA
Rfam family: Bacterial small subunit ribosomal RNA
Source: RNAcentral
GAUGAACGCUGGCGGCGUGCUUAACACAUGCAAGUCGAACGAAGCACUUUGGGCAGAUUCUUCGGAUGAAGUCCUUAGUGACUGAGUGGCGGACGGGUGAGUAACGCGUGGGUAACCUGCCUCAUACAGGGGGAUAACAGUUAGAAAUGGCUGCUAAUACCGCAUAAGCGCACGGUACUGCAUGGUACAGUGUGAAAAAACUCCGGUGGUAUGAGAUGGACCCGCGUUGGAUUAGCUAGUUGGCAGGGUAACGGCCUACCAAGGCGACGAUCCAUAGCCGGCCUGAGAGGGUGGACGGCCACAUUGGGACUGAGACACGGCCCAGACUCCUACGGGAGGCAGCAGUGGGGAAUAUUGCACAAUGGGGGAAACCCUGAUGCAGCGACGCCGCGUGAGCGAAGAAGUAUUUCGGUAUGUAAAGCUCUAUCAGCAGGGAAGAAAA